RNAcentral lists this ribosomal RNA (440 nucleotides) under uncultured bacterium. RNAcentral's name for it is "partial 16S ribosomal RNA". It matches the Rfam family "Bacterial small subunit ribosomal RNA", at positions 338 to 795 of the family's 1533-position model. The record is from RNAcentral.
CCUACGGGAGGCUGCAGUGGGGAAUAUUGCACAAUGGGGGAAACCCUGAUGCAGCGACGCCGCGUGAGUGAAGAAGUAUUUCGGUACGUAAAGCUCUAUCAGCAGGGAAGAAAAUGACGGUACCUGACUAAGAAGCCCCGUCUAACUACGUGCCAGCAGCCGCGGUAAUACGUAGGGGGCCAGCGUUAUACGGAUUUACUGGGUGUAAAGGGAGCGUAGGCGGCAGCGCAAGGCUGGAGUGAAAUCCCAUGGCUUAACCAUGGAACUGCUGUGGAAACUGUGCAGCUAGAGUGCAGGAGAGGUAAGCGGAAUUCGUAGUGUAGCGGUGAAAUGCGUAGAUAUUAGGAGGAACACCAGUGGCGAAGGCGGCUUACUGGACUGUAACUGACGUUGAGGCUCGAAAGCGUGGGGAGCAAACAGGAUUAGAUACCCUUGUAGUC